AGCUUGGAUUACAACACACAACCUCAUUCUCCGGUCAGGGAGCCUUUUAUUUUUUACAAAGGAAAGAGUUGUUAUUAGUUGUUAAAUUAAUGCUGUAAAUGUUGAAUACAGAACAUUUAGCAACCCAAAAUAAGAAAAAUCUGAAUCGCUGCUGAAAACAUGACCUUCGUCAUCCGUCCAUCUGGCUAUGAAUUGGUUUAACUCUUCAACACAGUGAAAUAAAAACAAAUACUUUUUCUACGUUUUAGAGAUAAGAAAUUAUGCUCAGAUUCUGAUGCCAACUUAGGUUGUAAUGAUGUCUACCAAAUACACCUCACAGGGCUCAAAAGAUAAUACCAGAAGACUGGAUUAAAAAGCCCAUUUAAUGAGCUUUUAUGGGCUCACUCGAACUUUUUUCUGUCAUCAAAUUGGUUCCAAAAAUGCAUUUGUGUUGUUGAAGUUCAUUUUGUGACUUUUUGUGACGAACGAGUCUGCUGAAAAGCAAAAGCUUAUCACAGCUGUCAUUUUGACCGAUUCUAGAAAAUGUGUCCUGCGUAGGCCUACUGCUAAUUAUUUUUUUACUUCUGGGGUCAGCCCGAAGUUCAAACACAAAUCAUCUCUCACAAUCUCACUUUGUGUUCUUAUGUCUCAGAUGUCCCCCCAUCCGCAUCCUGUUCUGGGAAAAGAAUCUUCUGUUAUUGAGAAUCCUGCAGGAAAGCAGAGCUUGCUGCGAUCUCCAUCGUACACACAUUUGCUUUUGUUUUACUUCUCUUGUGAUAAAGCUGUGAAACCUACAUGUCUUGGUGUGAAGACGCCUCAUCCGGCCAAAAGCAACAAAGAUGGAGGAGAGACGCCUGCAUCGUGUUUGGUCAAAGCUCGGGAAUCGGUGGGAACAAAAGACUCUGCAAACAUUGGCUGAGCUCUCGCACAUAAACAACGCAGCGGAUGGAUCCGAUAGCAGAAUAAGUCAGAAAGGCUCUGAUUAUUAUUCAGGACACUAAGGUCCUCCCUCUCUAGCCCGAGUCGGAGCUUCGCCUGCAAAACUUUCCCUGGGAUGGAUCUUUUUAGAGGGAGGAGCGCUUCCAGAGAACAAAGGUGGC
Long non-coding RNA from Gasterosteus aculeatus aculeatus (three-spined stickleback), 1079 nucleotides. The record is from Ensembl. Lineage: Eukaryota; Metazoa; Chordata; Actinopteri; Perciformes; Gasterosteidae.